GCGAACGUAGCUCAGUUGGUUAGAGCGCCUGACUGUGACUCAGGAGGUCGGGGGUUCGAGACCCCUCGUUCGCCCCA
Molecule: transfer RNA, 77 nt
Filed under: Alphaproteobacteria bacterium
Lineage: Bacteria; Pseudomonadati; Pseudomonadota; Alphaproteobacteria
Also listed under: 1 other name
Description: tRNA-His
Rfam family: tRNA
About the family: Transfer RNA (tRNA) molecules are approximately 80 nucleotides in length. Their secondary structure includes four short double-helical elements and three loops (D, anti-codon, and T loops).
Source: RNAcentral